RNAcentral lists this ribosomal RNA (465 nucleotides) under Vreelandella stevensii. Its description in RNAcentral is "partial 16S ribosomal RNA". It matches the Rfam family "Bacterial small subunit ribosomal RNA", at positions 338 to 795 of the family's 1533-position model. The record is from RNAcentral. Lineage: Bacteria; Pseudomonadati; Pseudomonadota; Gammaproteobacteria; Oceanospirillales; Halomonadaceae.
CCUAGGGGGUGCAGCAGUGGGGAAUAUUGGACAAUGGGCGAAAGCCUGAUCCAGCCAUGCCGCGUGUGUGAAGAAGGCCUUCGGGUUGUAAAGCACUUUCAGUGGGGAAGAAAGCCUUGGGGCUAAUACCCUCGAGGAAGGACAUCACCCACAGAAGAAGCACCGGCUAACUCCGUGCCAGCAGCCGCGGUAAUACGGAGGGUGCGAGCGUUAAUCGGAAUUACUGGGCGUAAAGCGCGCGUAGGCGGUCUGAUAAGCCGGUUGUGAAAGCCCCGGGCUCAACCUGGGAACGGCAUCCGGAACUGUCAGGCUAGAGUGCAGGAGAGGAAGGUAGAAUUCCCGGUGUAGCGGUGAAAUGCGUAGAGAUCGGGAGGAAUACCAGUGGCGAAGGCGGCCUUCUGGACUGACACUGACGCUGAGGUGCGAAAGCGUGGGUAGCAAACAGGAUUAGAUACCCGUGUAGUC